RNAcentral lists this ribosomal RNA (253 nucleotides) under uncultured bacterium. Its description in RNAcentral is "partial 16S ribosomal RNA". It matches the Rfam family "Bacterial small subunit ribosomal RNA", at positions 524 to 776 of the family's 1533-position model. The record is from RNAcentral.
AACGUAGGUGGCGAGCGUUAUCCGGAAUUACUGGGCGUAAAGCGUGCGCAGGCGGUUUGUUAAGACAGAUGUGAAAUCCCCGGGCUUAACCUGGGAACUGCGUUUGUAACUGGCAAGCUAGAGUGUGGCAGAGGGGGGUGGAAUUCCACGUGUAGCAGUGAAAUGCGUAGAGAUGUGGAGGAACACCGAUGGCGAAGGCAGCCCCCUGGGCUAACACUGACGCUCAUGCACGAAAGCGUGGGGAGCAAACAGG